GACGAGGGGCAGCGGAGGACCCCGCAGGGCAUCGGGCUCCUGGCCAAGACCCCGCUGAGCCGCCCAGUCAAGAGAAACAACGCCAAGUACCGGCGCAUCCAAACUUUGAUCUACGACGCCCUGGAGAGACCGCGGGGCUGGGCGCUGCUUUACCACGCGUUGGUGUUCCUGAUUGUCCUGGGGUGCUUGAUUCUGGCUGUCCUGACCACAUUCAAGGAGUAUGAGACUGUCUCGGGAGACUGGCUUCUGUUACUGGAGACAUUUGCUAUUUUCAUCUUUGGAGCCGAGUUUGCUUUGAGGAUCUGGGCUGCUGGAUGUUGCUGCCGAUACAAAGGCUGGCGGGGCCGACUGAAGUUUGCCAGGAAGCCCCUGUGCAUGUUGGACAUCUUUGUGCUGAUUGCCUCUGUGCCAGUGGUUGCUGUGGGAAACCAAGGCAAUGUUCUGGCCACCUCCCUGCGAAGCCUGCGCUUCCUGCAGAUCCUGCGCAUGCUGCGGAUGGACCGGAGAGGCGGCACCUGGAAGCUUCUGGGCUCAGCCAUCUGUGCCCACAGCAAAGAACUCAUCACGGCCUGGUACAUCGGUUUCCUGACACUCAUCCUUUCUUCAUUUCUUGUCUACCUGGUUGAGAAAGACGUCCCAGAGGUGGAUGCACAAGGAGAGGAGAUGAAAGAGGAGUUUGAGACCUAUGCAGAUGCCCUGUGGUGGGGCCUGAUCACACUGGCCACCAUUGGCUAUGGAGACAAGACACCCAAAACGUGGGAAGGCCGUCUGAUUGCCGCCACCUUUUCCUUAAUUGGCGUCUCCUUUUUUGCCCUUCCAGCGGGCAUCCUGGGGUCCGGGCUGGCCCUCAAGGUGCAGGAGCAACACCGUCAGAAGCACUUUGAGAAAAGGAGGAAGCCAGCUGCUGAGCUCAUUCAGGCUGCCUGGAGGUAUUAUGCUACCAACCCCAACAGGAUUGACCUGGUGGCGACAUGGAGAUUUUAUGAAUCAGUGGUCUCUUUUCCUUUCUUCAGGAAAGAACAGCUGGAGGCAGCAUCCAGCCAAAAGCUGGGUCUCUUGGAUCGGGUUCGCCUUUCUAAUCCUCGUGGUAGCAAUACUAAAGGAAAGCUAUUUACCCCUCUGAAUGUAGAUGCCAUAGAAGAAAGUCCUUCUAAAGAACCAAAGCCUGUUGGCUUAAACAAUAAAGAGCGUUUCCGCACGGCCUUCCGCAUGAAAGCCUACGCUUUCUGGCAGAGUUCUGAAGGUAAUGCCUUUUUAUCUCCCUCCCUGUCUCUUCCACUUCUUCCUCCCCCAAGUCCACUUCCUUCCUCACCUCUCCCUUUGCCCACUUAAGAAUCUUUGACUCCACAAGGUAACUCUCUCCCUUCCCUCGACAAGCCAACUUCUUGCUUCCCUACCUCCUCCUGUCCCUUGGGCUGAGGCAUUGUGAUGUAUUCCCAGGAGUCUAGGGCUGCAGGCUCCCAAGUUAGGAGCCUGGAAACCUGUCACCUUGGUUUCUAAGGGUCCGCCCCGACCCCCCGCCCCAUGAUUGGAUUGUUAUGGAGGUCAACUUGAAGGAUGGGGCAGUGCCAGGUGCAAAGCAAUUUAGAGACCAGGGCACGGGAAGAGUGGCAGAAAAGCGCCCUCUAGAGGCUGUAGGAGCCAUGGCCUCAUGUGCCUCUUUUACUUAUGCAAAGGGAGGACAUGCAGAAAAGCCUGGUUCCUCAGUGUCUGAGCCCACCCAGGCCCUCAAUCCUCAUUGUAUCAUUCAGUUCUCUCCAAGGCCUCUGAUGUGUGCGGCUCAGAAAGUGACCUCUCCAAGGUCACCAGGAUAGAGACUGACAGAGCAAAAGUCCCAGCUGAGGCCUGCACAGUGCGUGUUGUUUGCUGGCUUCUGUGUCCUUUGCUGGCUUCUGGCUCUGGGGGCCACUCUGGAACUGCGGAGCUCACUUCUCCUCCCUGCUAGCCUUUUCCCUCACUACCAGUCAUGAGCUGCGCACACUUUUGACUUGGACUUCUGGAUAAUAGAAUGAGGGUGCCAAGAAAGGCUGAACAGCAUCACAGCUUGAGAAUACUGUGGAGUCUUGCAACGUGGAAAUAAAGACUCUGGGGAUUGACACAUCCAGAGGCGUGGAAGGCUUUGACCGAACAGUGGGGUCCCCAAGCCUUUUCCAGGUCUGUGGCCUGCCGUUCAUAUGUGUGUCUCCCUCCCAGAUGCCGGGACAGGUGACCCCAUGGCGGAAGACAGGGGCUAUGGGAAUGACUUCCCCAUCGAAGACAUGAUCCCCACCCUGAAGGCCGCCAUCCGAGCCGUCAGAAUUCUACAAUUCCGUCUCUAUAAAAAAAAAUUCAAGGAGACUUUGAGGCCUUACGAUGUGAAGGAUGUGAUUGAGCAGUAUUCUGCCGGGCAUCUCGACAUGCUUUCCAGGAUAAAGUACCUUCAGACCAGAAUAGAUAUGAUUUUCACCCCUGGACCUCCCUCCACGCCAAAACACAAGAAGUCUCAGAAAGGGUCAGCAUUCACCUUCCCAUCCCAGCAAUCUCCCAGGAAUGAACCAUAUGUAGCCAGACCAUCCACAUCAGAAAUCGAAGACCAAAGCAUGAUGGGGAAGUUUGUAAAAGUUGAAAGACAGGUUCAGGACAUGGGGAAGAAGCUGGACUUCCUCGUGGAUAUGCACAUGCAACACAUGGAACGGUUGCAGGUGCAGGUCACGGAGUAUUGCCCAACCAAGGGCACCUCCUCGCCAGCUGAAGCAGAGAAGAAAGAGGACAACAGGUAUUCCGAUUUGAAAACCAUCAUCUGCAACUAUUCUGAGACAGGCCCCCCGGAACCACCCUACAGCUUCCACCAGGUGCCCAUUGACAAAGUCAGCCCUUAUGGGUUUUUUGCACAUGACCCUGUGAACCUGCCCCGAGGGGGACCCAGUUCUGGAAAGGUUCAGGCAACUCCUCCUUCCUCGGCAACAACGUAUGUGGAGAGGCCCACGGUCCUGCCUAUCUUGACUCUUCUCGACUCCCGAGUGAGCUGCCACUCCCAGGCUGACCUGCAGGGCCCCUACUCGGACCGAAUCUCCCCCCGGCAGAGACGUAGCAUCACGCGAGACAGCGACACACCUCUGUCCCUGAUGUCGGUCAACCACGAGGAGCUGGAGAGGUCUCCAAGUGGCUUCAGCAUCUCCCAGGACAGAGAUGAUUAUGUGUUCGGCCCCAAUGGGGGGUCGAGCUGGAUGAGGGAGAAGCGGUACCUCGCCGAGGGUGAGACGGACACAGACACCGACCCCUUCACGCCCAGCGGCUCCAUGCCUCUGUCGUCCACAGGGGAUGGGAUUUCUGAUUCAGUAUGGACCCCUUCCAAUAAGCCCAUUUAAAAGAGGUCACUGGCUGACCCCUCCUUGUAAUGUAGACAGACUUUGUAUAGUUCACUUACUCUCACACCCGACGCUUACCAGCGGGGACACCAAUGGCUGCAUCAAAUGCAUGCGUGU
Molecule: small RNA, 3464 nt
Filed under: Pan troglodytes (chimpanzee)
Lineage: Eukaryota; Metazoa; Chordata; Mammalia; Primates; Hominidae
Description: retained intron
Source: RNAcentral